AGGCUAGAGCAAUGGUGAGCUUAUGAAGCGUGUCAGGUCCGGAAGGAAGCAGCACUAAGUAAGUUUUGCCAUGUGCUUGAUUAAAUA
RNAcentral lists this signal recognition particle RNA (87 nucleotides) under Vagococcus entomophilus. Its description in RNAcentral is "Bacterial small signal recognition particle RNA". It matches the Rfam family "Bacterial small signal recognition particle RNA". Rfam says of the family: The signal recognition particle (SRP) is a universally conserved ribonucleoprotein involved in the co-translational targeting of proteins to membranes. The record is from Rfam by way of RNAcentral. Lineage: Bacteria; Bacillati; Bacillota; Bacilli; Lactobacillales; Enterococcaceae.